RNAcentral lists this ribosomal RNA (270 nucleotides) under uncultured archaeon. Its description in RNAcentral is "partial 16S ribosomal RNA". It matches the Rfam family "Archaeal small subunit ribosomal RNA", at positions 477 to 747 of the family's 1478-position model. The record is from RNAcentral.
CAGCACCUCAAGUGGUCAGGAUGAUUAUUGGGCCUAAAGCAUCCGUAGCCGGCUCUGUAAGUUUUCGGUUAAAUCUGUACGCUCAACGUACAGGCUGCCGGGAAUACUGCAGCGCUAGGGAGUGGGAGAGGUAGACGGUACUCGGUAGGCAGGGGUAAAAUCCUUUGAUCUAUUGAUGACCACCUGUGGCGAAGGCGGUCUACCAGAACACGUCCGACGGUGAGGGAUGAAAGCUGGGGGAGCAAACCGGAUUAGAGACCCGAGUAGUCC